Micropterus salmoides (largemouth bass) is the source of this 729-nucleotide long non-coding RNA. RefSeq lists it as uncharacterized. The transcript has 3 exons. The record is from RefSeq and is a predicted model, not a curated record. NCBI's taxonomy places the organism in Eukaryota, Metazoa, Chordata, Actinopteri, Centrarchiformes, Centrarchidae.
CUCUGGUGUCCCAAAUAAAGACGCAGCCUGUUCAGCCGAGCGGUCCUCUCCUUUGGUUACUUCCAUGCUGCUGAGCGCUACAAACUCCUGCCAGUGAUUUCCAGGAGGAACUAAGUGUCAGGCAGCCCGUCCACUGGAUAUGAGAACCUGUAGGCCUGGCACAGUGGCUAUCAGAGAGAGAGAGAGUAAAGGUGCUUUCAGACCAAAAGCGUGAGUGUUGGGGGCGGUGCGUUUAUAUACAAAGUCAAUGCAAAGACGCGGAGAACCGCUCAAGCGAGAAAGUCGCAUGACGCUGAGUCAUGAUAGCCUAUCAGCGUCGAGAUUAUCCAAACAUCACGGGCAUCUUCAGAGCAUUGUGUGGAGAGGACCAGGCAGAAAAUCCGCUGGCCAACAGAGAGCUACUAAACUGCAGGGGAAAGCUGAGGACAGAGCCGGGAGCAGCACUGCAGCUCUUGACAAAUAAACACCCGUAGUCUGUCUGGAUUAUGCUCUGAGAAAACUGCUUUUAUUAAAUUAGCUAUUUACUUUAGUUUUUGGGAUUACAACGUUGAUUUAUUUUCACUGGAGCUUCGGGACAGCAACCUUUGGUGCACAUCCGGUUCGAAUGUUGUUAGCGUCAGUGGGCACCCAGAGUUGUUGGACUACUACUUCAUAGAAAAAACAGUCAAAACUGGACAUUGCUCAGAGAAAAGAAAGCGAGGAAGUUGAAUUACCUGGUGAAUUCAUAAA